Long non-coding RNA from Xenopus tropicalis (tropical clawed frog), 589 nucleotides. RefSeq lists it as uncharacterized. Lineage: Eukaryota; Metazoa; Chordata; Amphibia; Anura; Pipidae. The transcript has 2 exons. The record is from RefSeq and is a predicted model, not a curated record.
GUUCCACAGUGGAACGCACGGCAAUCUCUAACAUUUGUCGUCUCCGUAUCGGUGGGGCGGUGCUUAGUUGAUGGGACCCAGCAGACAUAUACCAAGAGACACCGUAUGAAAGAAGAAUUUUGUUUUUGGCACACCCCAAUGAGAUCUCUUACCUUCAAGAACAAACCAUCCUCUUCCAUUGUUUAUAUACUGAAUGAGCUCAUCUGUAACGGGCACACAACGUGCCAUAUGGGUUUGUACAGGCAUUGUGUGUGAAGGAGACAUCUCCUUUCAAUCACCUUUCAAGGAAUGUUGUUUUUCUCUCAUCCGCACUUUGCCGGUUUGGAUCUCUCUCGGAGGAAUUGGUUCGCUGGUGCUGAAGCCUCCUGCCAAGCUGGAUGUCAGAUCCUACUGGCAAUAUAUUUUCAUUGCUAUGUUUGCUCAGAGGAAUGUCAGCAGAAAAUCAAUUAGGACUUUAAGACGGGUUACAUAUUCCGGAUGACAGCCUUGGGGAUAUCCCGCACUUGUCUAAUUACUAAGCUUUAUCAGCUUUAACGGCAAACUCAAAUUUACAUUCAAUAAACCCAUAUUUUUGUUAUCUUUUAUGUUC